GGUUCGAUGGCGCAGUCGGUAGCGCGCCCGCCUAACACGCGGAAGGUCGCCGGUUCAAGCCCGGCUCGAAUCA
Non-coding RNA from Myriangium duriaei CBS 260.36, 73 nucleotides. The record is from the annotation of a GenBank genome assembly. Lineage: Eukaryota; Fungi; Ascomycota; Dothideomycetes; Myriangiales; Myriangiaceae.